GAUGAACGCUAGCUACAGGCUUAACACAUGCAAGUCGAGGGGAAACGACAUCGAAAGCUUGCUUUUGAUGGGCGUCGACCGGCGCACGGGUGAGUAACGCGUAUCCAACCUGCCCACCACUUGGGGAUAACCUUGCGAAAGUAAGACUAAUACCCGAUGAUAUCCCUAGACGACAUCUGAAAGGGAUUAAAGAUUUAUCGGUGAUGGAUGGGGAUGCGUCUGAUUAGCUUGUUGGCGGGGUAACGGCCCACCAAGGCAACGAUCAGUAGGGGUUCUGAGAGGAAGGUCCCCCACAUUGGAACUGAGACACGGUCCAAACUCCUAACGGGAGGCAGCAGUGAGGGAUAUUGGUCAAUGGGCGAGAGCCUGAACCAGCCAAGUAGCGUGCAGGACGACGGCCCUAUGGGUUGUAAACUGCUUUUAUAAGGGAAUAAAGUGGGUCACGUGUGACUUUUUGCAUGUACCUUAUGAA
Molecule: ribosomal RNA, 472 nt
Filed under: uncultured bacterium
Lineage: Bacteria
Description: bacterial SSU rRNA
Rfam family: Bacterial small subunit ribosomal RNA
Source: RNAcentral